AUUUACACAUCUAUCUUAAAAUGUAAAAUAGAGACAUUAAGUAAAUAACAAGUACAAGAAAUGGAAAUACAUAUACAGGAAAAUAAACAAUAAGUAAAUAAUGUAAAUAUAUAAUAUAUGAAUUAUAUAUAUAAUAAUAAGUAAAUACACAAUUUUUAAUAAAAGGGACCUUUUGAGGCUCCAUAGAGCGUCCACAUCAGCAAAAAAAACUUCUCCUGAAAGAUGACACGUGGCAUAAAAUAUAGUUUUACAUUUUAAUAUUACUAAUUUUCGAAAAUUAUAAAUAAUAUGUAAACAUACAGCAUAAAAAAAAUGGAAAAACUACAUUAAACAUAUGUAAGAUUAUCAUUUUUCGCUUGAAAAAAAGAC
Molecule: long non-coding RNA, 369 nt
Filed under: Brassica rapa (field mustard)
Lineage: Eukaryota; Viridiplantae; Streptophyta; Magnoliopsida; Brassicales; Brassicaceae
Description: long non-coding RNA (BRAP_LNC005017)
Source: RNAcentral